Molecule: ribosomal RNA, 301 nt
Filed under: uncultured bacterium
Lineage: Bacteria
Description: partial 16S ribosomal RNA
Rfam family: Bacterial small subunit ribosomal RNA
Source: RNAcentral
CAGCCGGCCGCGGUAACACGAAGGGUGCAAGCGUUACUCGGAAUUACUGGGCGUAAAGCGUGCGUAGGUGGUGGUUUAAGUCCGUUGUGAAAGCCCUGGGCUCAACCUGGGAAUUGCAGUGGAUACUGGGUCACUAGAGUGUGGUAGAGGAUAGUGGAAUUUCCGGUGUAGCAGUGAAAUGCGUAGAGAUCGGAAGGAACAUCUGUGGCGAAGGCGACUAUCUGGGCCAACACUGACACUGAGGCACGAAAGCGUGGGGAGCAAACAGGAUUAGAUACCCCCGUAGUCCCUGUCUCUUAUA